UGAGGAAUAUUGGUCAAUGGGCGAGAGCCUGAACCAGCCAAGUAGCGUGCAGGAUGACGGCCCUCCGGGUUGUAAACUGCUUUUAGUUGGGAAUAAAAAAAGGGACUUGUCCCUUCUUGUAUGUACCUUCAGAAAAAGGACCGGCUAAUUCCGUGCCAGCAGCCGCGGUAAUACGGAAGGUCCAGGCGUUAUCCGGAUUUAUUGGGUUUAAAGGGAGCGUAGGCGGAUUGUUAAGUCAGCGGUUAAAGGGUGUGGCUCAACCAUGCAUUGCCGUUGAAACUGGCGAUCUUGAGUGCAGACAGGGAUGCCGGAAUUCGUGGUGUAGCGGUGAAAUGCUUAGAUAUCACGAAGAACUCCGAUCGCGAAGGCAGGUGUCCGGGCUGCAACUGACGCUGAGGCUCGAAAGUGUGGGUAUCAAACAGG
RNAcentral lists this ribosomal RNA (423 nucleotides) under uncultured Prevotellaceae bacterium. Its description in RNAcentral is "bacterial SSU rRNA". It matches the Rfam family "Bacterial small subunit ribosomal RNA", at positions 355 to 776 of the family's 1533-position model. Lineage: Bacteria; Pseudomonadati; Bacteroidota; Bacteroidia; Bacteroidales; Prevotellaceae. The record is from RNAcentral.